Limanda limanda (common dab) is the source of this 366-nucleotide long non-coding RNA. RefSeq lists it as uncharacterized. The record is from RefSeq and is a predicted model, not a curated record. NCBI's taxonomy places the organism in Eukaryota, Metazoa, Chordata, Actinopteri, Pleuronectiformes, Pleuronectidae. The transcript has 3 exons.
CAAAGAGGCGGCCACUGCGCGUUAGGCUGAGACGCUGAAAGUCCGGAUUUAAAGUGCAGAAAAUUAAGCCAUUGAAUCUGCCUGUCCAUGACGUAGUAAGACGCACUAUGAGCCAGUUUGAUCCAACAAGACCUUACAUCAGCAUUGAGGAGUUCAGGAGUUGUCGGAGAAGAAAGAGGCUGAUUGAAGCGGGACAGAUGACAUGGAUCCAUCCUUCCACAGCCAGGAGUGCACCGACCUGUGUCCCACACUUCAUAUAAGACUGGAAGCUACACUGAUCUCACAGCUACACACCACAGACGUCUACACACUGGAGAAGAUUCAGACAGAGUCCCACAAAGAAGUCGUGACCCAGAGGCUGCAGAG